This 461-nucleotide ribosomal RNA is filed under the name uncultured bacterium. RNAcentral's name for it is "partial 16S ribosomal RNA". It matches the Rfam family "Bacterial small subunit ribosomal RNA", at positions 28 to 507 of the family's 1533-position model. The record is from RNAcentral.
GACGAACGCUGGCGGCGUGCUUACACAUGCAAGUCGAACGGAAAGGCCCUUCGGGGUACUCGAGUGGCGAACGGGUGAGUAACACGUGGGUGAUCUGCCCUGCACUUUGGGAUAAGCCUGGGAAACUGGGUCUAAUACCGAAUAUGAUCAUCGGCUUCAUGGUCGGUGGUGGAAAGCUUUUGCGGUGUGGGAUGGGCCCGCGGCCUAUCAGCUUGUUGGUGGGGUAAUGGCCUACCAAGGCGACGACGGGUAGCCGGCCUGAGAGGGUGACCGGCCACACUGGGACUGAGAUACGGCCCAGACUCCUACGGGAGGCAGCAGUGGGGAAUAUUGCACAAUGGGCGCAAGCCUGAUGCAGCGACGCCGCGUGAGGGAUGACGGCCUUCGGGUUGUAAACCUCUUUCAGCACAGACGAAGCGCAAGUGACGGUAUGUGCAGAAGAAGGACCGGCCAACUACGUG